CAGAGUUCUCGCCCUCGCGGGUAGAUCUCCCACCCACUGUUAUUGCUACCGUGUUGCUUUGGCGGGCUGCUGGGCCUAGCCCGGCCGCCGGCUCCGGCUGGUGAGCGCCUGCCAGAGGACCCAAAACUCUGAAUUUAAUGUCGUCUGAGUACUAUAUAAUAGUUA
Molecule: unclassified non-coding RNA, 165 nt
Filed under: uncultured Tricholoma
Lineage: Eukaryota; Fungi; Basidiomycota; Agaricomycetes; Agaricales; Tricholomataceae
Description: sequence contains ITS1
Source: RNAcentral